This 497-nucleotide ribosomal RNA is filed under the name uncultured bacterium. Its description in RNAcentral is "partial 16S ribosomal RNA". It matches the Rfam family "Bacterial small subunit ribosomal RNA", at positions 28 to 507 of the family's 1533-position model. The record is from RNAcentral.
GAUGAACGCUGGCGGCGUGCCUAAUACAUGCAAGUCGAGCGAACAGACGAGGAGCUUGCUCCUCUGACGUUAGCGGCGGACGGGUGAGUAACACGUGGAUAACCUACCUAUAAGACUGGGAUAACUUCGGGAAACCGGAGCUAAUACCGGAUAAUAUAUUGAACCGCAUGGUUCAAUAGUGAAAGACGGUUUUGCUGUCACUUAUAGAUGGAUCCGCGCCGCAUUAGCUAGUUUGUAAGGUAACGGCUUACCAAGGCAACGAUGCAUAGCCGACCUGAGAGGGUGAUCGGCCACACUGGAACUGAGACACGGUCCAGACUCCUACGGGAGGCAGCAGUAGGGAAUCUUCCGCAAUGGGCGAAAGCCUGACGGAGCAACGCCGCGUGAGUGAUGAAGGUCUUCGGAUCGUAAAACUCUGUUAUUAGGGAAGAACAAAUGUGUAAGUAACUAUGCACGUCUUGACGGUACCUAAUCAGAAAGCCACGGCUAACUACGUG